CGGGAAUCAAAUGUUGUCCGUGCAUUAACUCAUGAACCGUUCAACCGAAGCUUUUAAAAUUUUAAUAUGUUGUUACUGACAACUAAAUGAAGGUCAAGUUCAAUAAUGGCGAUUUUGACUUUUACCGUUCAGGAGUUAUGGUUCUUGAAAGAUUGAAAAAUGGAGUUUCCAGUCGUGUUCGUGCAUUAACUCAUGAACCGUUCAACCAAAGCUUUUAAAAUUUUAAUAUGUUGUUACUGACAACUAAAUGAAGGUCAAGUUCAAUAAUGGCGAGUUUGACUUUUACCGUUCAGGAGUUAUGGUUCUUGAAAGAUUGAAAAAUGGAGUUUCCAGUCGUGUCCGUGCAUUAACUCAGGAACCGUUCAACCAAAGCUUUUAAAAUUUUAAUAUGUUGUUACUGACAACUAAAUGAAGGUCAAGUUCAAUAAUGGCGAUUUUGAUUGUUACCGUUCAGGAGUUAUGGUUCUUGAAAGAUUGAAAAAUGGUGUUUCGAGUCGUGUCCGUGCAUUUUCUCAUGAACCAUUCAACCAAAGCUUUUGAAAUUUUUAUAUGUUGUUACUGAUGACAAAAUAG
Molecule: long non-coding RNA, 573 nt
Filed under: Mytilus galloprovincialis (Mediterranean mussel)
Lineage: Eukaryota; Metazoa; Mollusca; Bivalvia; Mytilida; Mytilidae
Source: RNAcentral